Molecule: transfer RNA, 78 nt
Filed under: Pediculus humanus corporis (human body louse)
Lineage: Eukaryota; Metazoa; Arthropoda; Insecta; Psocodea; Pediculidae
Description: tRNA tRNA-Gln
Source: RNAcentral
UUUAAUUAUUUAUGUUAAAUUAUAUUACAAUUGGAGUAGGAAAUAAUCUAAUUUUGACUUCUAAUCAAUUAAUUAAAG